UGCCUCAUUUUGGUAUCCCAAGGACAGGCACCACUCUCUUGGUGUCUGGACUUAGCAGUGAGGCUACAGGAAACACAGGUUUAGCUUCCAUCAUUGUGAGAUAAAUUCCAUUGGUGACAAUGAGGCCUGUAAUACCU
Molecule: small nucleolar RNA, 137 nt
Organism: Heteronotia binoei (common prickly gecko)
Lineage: Eukaryota; Metazoa; Chordata; Lepidosauria; Squamata; Gekkonidae
Product: small nucleolar RNA SNORA1
Exons: 1
Source: RefSeq, a predicted model, not a curated record